This is a non-coding RNA of Nicotiana tabacum (common tobacco), 618 nucleotides long. NCBI's taxonomy places the organism in Eukaryota, Viridiplantae, Streptophyta, Magnoliopsida, Solanales, Solanaceae. The record is from RefSeq and is a predicted model, not a curated record.
GCCGCAUUCUUCUGUCUUCAAUUGCUUCAUCUUCAUUCUUCAUAGACCUUACUAGUUACUCCUAGUUGUCUUUUUUCAGGUUAGGCAUUUGACAAACAAUAUCCAGUUUAUCUUGGACAGUUUGGGGUUCUGUAAGUGUUGAGGAAGACUUUGAUGUUCUCGAGGAACUAGAACAAGAUUUUGCCAAACUUGGAAAAGAACCUUGCGAUGAUGCUGUAUAGAAUCUUAGAUAGUUAUGAGUUAAAAAUUUGGUGUAAUCAUGCCUCGACUUCGUGGUCACAAAACUACCUCACUUGUUUGGAGUUACUAUGAAAGGAUUGAAGAAGGUGAUGAUGGAUGGUGGAAAGUAAGAUGUAGUCAUUGUCAUCUUGUUUUUAUUACAAUGCACAACAAAGUGGUACUAAGUCCUUAAUGGGGCAUGUUAGGAGUUGUUUGGAGCGCAAUUUGGUGAAGCCUAUGAGAAUUGAGUAGUUGUUGUCUUGUUAACUUGAAUUUGAACUGUUAGUACUAUAUGUUUGGACUUAUUAAUUUAAAGGUAAAAUUGCUACUACUUUGUAUUAUUGUUAAAAUGUAUUUGGACAAUUGUUGUUGAAGAAUUAGUACUAUUCCAGUUUUGGC